AUGAGACAAACUUAACACCAACUAGAAAUGUCCGACUUGUUUCCCGACCAGAACAGCCCGGCUUCUCCUAAUAAAUAAGAUCAGUCUUCACUCCAGGACCGGCAGGACGGAUGUUCAUCAUCACCUUCAUCAUCACGUUAACAUCUGACAGCUGUCGUGCAGUGGGGCCAUUAGGCAGCGGAUGCAGCGGGCGCCCGGCUGCAGGCGGCCCUCUCAAUGGUCUCUCCCACCAUGAAGGCGGUGGUGGACGCUGUGUGGGCGGUGUGGAGCAUCGGGGCCUCCAUCUAUGACUACAUCCACACCAGCGCCAUGGAGGAGCGCAUCCACGCCCUGGAGAAUGUCAUCACCAUCCACCAGUGUGUGAUCGGGCUGCUGUCCGCCGGCGUGUUGGUGCUUUUCACCUACAUCUUCUUCAAGAAGCUGUGAAGAGGUGGGCUGGGGUUGACAUGGGGGAAGUGGAGCAGCCAGAAUCCGUCCAAUGUGAUAAAGAUGAGAAAGAUAAAGGGGAAUUUUUACACUUUGGGGUAUUUUGGAAAGGCCUAUCAGAGCUGUUGGCGUGCUGUUCACGGUGGGUACAUAGAGUUUCCAUAGGGGGACAUAACACAUACGCAAACGAUCAAGACAUGAAGUUACUUUUUGGGGGUUUUAGCAUCACUGCAGUGCCACCUUUUUUUUUUCCUAAAUCUGUUUAGGAAAAAACACCCUGAGGUCUUUUUCCUUUAUCAGCAAUGAAGGCCUACAGUGUCCACCUAUUUUUAAAGGCCAAUAACAGCUUUUUAUACUGAUGAAGACAGAUUUUAUGUGCCAAAUAGAAAAUUGUGAUUUUAUUUGAAUGGAUUAAGUACCAAUGGCACUAACUGCUCCCUCAAAUUUAAGGGUUAAAAAGCCUCUGUACCUCUGGAAAAGCUUUUAAGCCAUUGUGAGAUGUUGUGACUCAGCAGCUAAUUGCAGGGUUUUCAGGCCGAACCUGCUGAGUUAAAUAUAUAUAUUCUGAACACAUUUGAGUAUUUUCUCAGGUUAGCCAUGUCGUACAAAAACGCCCAGUGCAUUAGCGGGAAACAUCAGCUGGACAGUUUGCUAAUUUUUUUUUCUCUUCUGGGAAACGCAUCAAGUCACUCAGUAUUUUAGCAGACCAGAACAUUUGUCCGCCCAAACAGAAACCACGUCUCACUGUAAUAGCAGGAACUCCAUUUGCAGCUUGAUUCAUUUUCUAAAGGGAUCAGUAUUGAAAAUGUCAUUCAUCGGGACAAAUUCUGCCUUAAUUCACAUUCUAAUGUCUUGUUUUCAUGUUUGCACUAAUUUCUCUGAGAUAUCAGGAGAUGCUAAUUUUGCUGAAACUACUGUCUAUGUAAAUGAUGACUGGAGAGUGUAGAGGUCUUUUAGAGUGACGUGUCAUCUCUAGCGGUUUUUAAUUUUGUGCACAUGGAUCUCUAAUGAACAUCUCUGCCAGUGACUGGAAGAGACCACAAAGUAAUGUGAUGACUUCUUUUCACUGUCCAUGACUAAGUUUUUUUUUUUUCCAUGUGAUCUUGAAUGUCAGAUUAGACAAAACACAUGUUAAAUCCCUUCUGUGACAGUUUUAUAGGUCUGCAUAUGUGUCAUCUGUGUAUUUAGACUUCAAAGAUGAUGAAUUUAUAUGCUUUUUUCCAUUAACAUUUUGUAAUACCUCAUGACUUACACGAAUGUAGGUGCCAUUGCUGUAUAAAAUGCAACAAUUUGAAGUGUCCUUACAAACUGUAAAUAUAUUAGAUGACCAUUGAAACAUUUCA
Molecule: long non-coding RNA, 1769 nt
Organism: Acanthochromis polyacanthus (spiny chromis)
Lineage: Eukaryota; Metazoa; Chordata; Actinopteri; Pomacentridae
Exons: 2
Source: RefSeq, a predicted model, not a curated record